Long non-coding RNA from Acipenser ruthenus (sterlet), 1311 nucleotides. RefSeq lists it as uncharacterized. NCBI's taxonomy places the organism in Eukaryota, Metazoa, Chordata, Actinopteri, Acipenseriformes, Acipenseridae. The transcript has 3 exons. The record is from RefSeq and is a predicted model, not a curated record.
GACGUCACGGCAGAAGAAGGCACAACAACAAGAAAAGGAACUCAAGAGCUACUGGACUCUAAAGGACAAAGGCCAGCCCUGCAGGUGUCUGCAUGAACUCACCAGGUGCCCUGCCAGUAGGGACCGCUAUAGUGUGAUGAGGAAAAACAGUCCCUUCCAGUUUUGCCUCCCUAACCGACAGGAGCGCCAGAGCCAAUGCGACGCUCCAUCCAGAAUCCCCCAUAAAGACGUGCGUCUUCCACGACAGAAUGCGAACCUGCACUCGCCUGACUGUAUGAUUCAUCCUGCACAUCCUGUGCUUUUACCAGACUGGGAGACAGGCUCUGCUCACAAACCAGUCAGCCCACCAGCAGCAGCAGCCUGGACUGGCUCAGCUCCUCUCAUCCUUGCAUGCCAAAGGCGUUGUCAAGCAACGGCGGAAAAAUACUGCUUCAGGCAGCGUUUAUUCUCCUCCUACUACACGCUGGGAUCAUAUUUUCACUAGACUUAACCUUGCAGCCAAAACUACUUAGAUCUGAAGCGGCAAGUCCGUCUGAGUGCUUGCUCUAGAUCAAAUAAGUGUGUGCCGGUGAUUUGAGUGGGCUGCACCGUCAGCACUGUGGUCCUGCAAGACUCAACCACGAAAGCUGUGCAGGUGUGUCAUUUAGUAACGUGUAGGGGGAAAAAAAACAUGAUUGGAAGGACGGAAGUGAAAAAUGUUUAAGAUGUACAAGACUUAUUUAUGACGGUAUGUAUAUCAUGGGUGGACAUGGCGAUAACGGACAACUGUGCUAUCCUUCCUCCACUUACCUCCCAUGACGUAAGUAAUGGGCAGUAGCUAUAUUUACACUGUGGCCCAUGCUUAAAAAAACUUAGCUUUAAACUCUGUCUUCUGGAUGUAGUCGACUAUAGAAGGCUUUCUCUUUAAUUACUAGUCCUGAAAUCAGAGUGCCAUUUUCUCUUUCUUGCAUGAACCAUGUGUACAAGCUCUUUCUCUCGCGUUGUCUUCACAGAUUGCAUUGUUCUCGAUGUUCUGCAGCUUUUAUGUCAGUAUCUGUUGACUUUCCCACACCAUACCCUUUAGCAAGUUCAACAGCGCGGUCAGCCUCUUCCAAAUGUUCAAUAAUAUUUCAGCUAGAGUAAGUACUGUCCUUUUUCAUUUGCCAGCCAUUUUGAAUUUGUCAGGGUCACGCUUGCAGUGCGGUUAAUAAGGCAAUUUGGAUCAAAGGGGUUUGAAGUAACAGGCUUCUACUGUAUAUCUUGUUUAAUGGGACACCCCGCCCCAGACACCAAAGACACACAUUAAUUCAAAGGAAUACCGGUACCUCAUUU